Mycena latifolia is the source of this 94-nucleotide non-coding RNA. Lineage: Eukaryota; Fungi; Basidiomycota; Agaricomycetes; Agaricales; Mycenaceae. The record is from the annotation of a GenBank genome assembly.
GGCUUGGUGGCGUAAUAGUAAUGUGCUCCGUAUUCCUAUGCAAUUCUCAUGUAUCGUUCACGGAAAGUUCGGAGUUCGAUUCUCCGCUGAGCCA